RNAcentral lists this ribosomal RNA (253 nucleotides) under uncultured bacterium. Its description in RNAcentral is "partial 16S ribosomal RNA". It matches the Rfam family "Bacterial small subunit ribosomal RNA", at positions 524 to 776 of the family's 1533-position model. The record is from RNAcentral.
UACGGAGGGUGCGAGCGUUGUUCGGAAUCACUGGGCGUAAAGCGCGUGUAGGCGGCCCAUUAAGUCUGAUGUGAAAGCCCGGGGCUCACCCCCGGAAGUGCAUUGGAAACUGCUGGGCUGGAGUCCCGGAGAGGAGGGUGGAAUUCCUGGUGUAGCGGUGAAAUGCGUAGAUAUCAGGAGGAACACCGGUGGCGAAGGCGGCCCUCUGGACGGUGACUGACGCUGAGACGCGAAAGCGUGGGGAGCAAACAGG